CGACAGGAGCAGAGAUUGGAGAAGGUUCCAGAAAGAAGUGUGCCACAUAGGGAAGAUUGCAUGGGUGGAACCCUGUUUAUGCAAAGCAGCUGCCUGCAGAGUAUUGGCUAAGUCCUUGAAAGAAAGUGGAAUUCUGCUUGGAAGAACUAUGUGAUUGGAACUGGGACCAUAUGGACUUUCAGAUCACCUAUAAGAUUCAGGAGAUAGUCUUUAUGAUUCCCACAGAGACCAUAGGACUGACUUAAAGCUGUAGUUCUCACCACUGGCAGUCCACAGGCUGGUCCAAAAUGCAAGUCACCGGCAUGCAAUGCCAUGGCUGAGGCCAUACAAGAGAACGGGCCAAAAACCUCGUCCUUGGCACUUGUGAGGUCACACAGCAUAAACAGCAUGAGUCUUCAUAAGAGACAAUUCACAAGAAUACCACAUGUAACCGGAACAACAAUUUAUACUUCAUGAGAAGAGUGCUGAAUAGUUGGUUCGAGCCUCAAUCCAGGGGUUGAUGGUCAAAUGAUUCAGGAGCACUUUAAAGAUUCCAUAACCCGAAUCCAUGAGGAGCAUGGAAUUCUUUCCAGUGUUUGAGCCAACAUUAUUUUUCAAUCAACACUACCAGAAAUAGAAUCACUUACACCCAUCGUAAAG
Molecule: long non-coding RNA, 639 nt
Organism: Carcharodon carcharias (great white shark)
Lineage: Eukaryota; Metazoa; Chordata; Chondrichthyes; Lamniformes; Lamnidae
Exons: 5
Source: RefSeq, a predicted model, not a curated record